AAUAUAUCGUGGGAUUACUAAUGGCGUAGUGCGAACGCGUGAACCGAGACGUGGAAACGAGUCGUAUGGUGCGAAGAAGUCCCGGCGGAGACAG
Bombyx mori (domestic silkworm) is the source of this 94-nucleotide non-coding RNA. The record is from RefSeq and is marked provisional. Lineage: Eukaryota; Metazoa; Arthropoda; Insecta; Lepidoptera; Bombycidae.